GCCGGUGUAGCUCAGUUGGUAGAGCAACGCAUUCGUAAUGCGUGGGUCAGCGGUUCGAAUCCGUUCACCGGCACCA
RNAcentral lists this transfer RNA (76 nucleotides) under Wenzhouxiangella sediminis. RNAcentral's name for it is "tRNA-Thr". It matches the Rfam family "tRNA". Rfam says of the family: Transfer RNA (tRNA) molecules are approximately 80 nucleotides in length. Their secondary structure includes four short double-helical elements and three loops (D, anti-codon, and T loops). Further hydrogen bonds mediate the characteristic L-shaped molecular structure. tRNAs have two regions of fundamental functional importance: the anti-codon, which is responsible for specific mRNA codon recognition, and the 3' end, to which the tRNAs corresponding amino acid is attached (by aminoacyl-tRNA synthetases). tRNAs cope with the degeneracy of the genetic code in two manners: having more than one tRNA (with a specific anti-codon) for a particular amino acid; and 'wobble' base-pairing, i.e. permitting non-standard base-pairing at the 3rd anti-codon position. The record is from RNAcentral. RNAcentral also lists the same sequence under 3 other names. Lineage: Bacteria; Pseudomonadati; Pseudomonadota; Gammaproteobacteria; Chromatiales; Wenzhouxiangellaceae.